RNAcentral lists this ribosomal RNA (537 nucleotides) under Alternaria alternata. RNAcentral's name for it is "eukaryotic LSU rRNA". The stretch from base 160 to 313 matches the Rfam family "5.8S ribosomal RNA". The record is from RNAcentral. Lineage: Eukaryota; Fungi; Ascomycota; Dothideomycetes; Pleosporales; Pleosporaceae.
AAUGAAGGCGGGCUGGAACCUCUCGGGGUUACAGCCUUGCUGAAUUAUUCACCCUUGUCUUUUGCGUACUUCUUGUUUCCUUGGUGGGUUCGCCCACCACUAGGACAAACAUAAACCUUUUGUAAUUGCAAUCAGCGUCAGUAACAAAUUAAUAAUUACAACUUUCAACAACGGAUCUCUUGGUUCUGGCAUCGAUGAAGAACGCAGCGAAAUGCGAUAAGUAGUGUGAAUUGCAGAAUUCAGUGAAUCAUCGAAUCUUUGAACGCACAUUGCGCCCUUUGGUAUUCCAAAGGGCAUGCCUGUUCGAGCGUCAUUUGUACCCUCAAGCUUUGCUUGGUGUUGGGCGUCUUGUCUCUAGCUUUGCUGGAGACUCGCCUUAAAGUAAUUGGCAGCCGGCCUACUGGUUUCGGAGCGCAGCACAAGUCGCACUCUCUAUCAGCAAAGGUCUAGCAUCCAUUAAGCCUUUUUUUCAACUUUUGACCUCGGAUCAGGUAGGGAUACCCGCUGAACUUAAGCAUAUCAAUAAGCGGAGGAAAA